RNAcentral lists this ribosomal RNA (435 nucleotides) under uncultured bacterium. Its description in RNAcentral is "bacterial SSU rRNA". It matches the Rfam family "Bacterial small subunit ribosomal RNA", at positions 29 to 507 of the family's 1533-position model. The record is from RNAcentral.
AACGAACGCUGGCGGCAUGCCUAACACAUGCAAGUCGAACGAGACCUUCGGGUCUAGUGGCGCACGGGUGCGUAACACGUGGGAAUUUGCCUCGGGGUAUGGAAUAACUCAGGGAAACUUGAGCUAAUACCAUAUAAUGUCUUCGGACCAAAGAUUUAUCGCCCUGAGAUAAGCCCGCGUAGGAUUAGCUAGUUGGUGGGGUAAAAGGCUCACCAAGGCGACGAUCCUUAGCUGGUCUGAGAGGAUGAUCAGCCACACUGGGACUGAGACACGGCCCAGACUCCUACGGGAGGCAGCAGUGGGGGAAUAUUGGACAAUGGGCGAAAGCCUGAUCCAGCAAUGCCGCGUGAGUGAUGAAGGCCUUCGGGUUGUAAAGCUCUUUUACUCGGGACGAUAAUGACGGUACCGAGAGAAUAAGCCCCGGCUAACUCCGUG